Molecule: small RNA, 165 nt
Filed under: Muricomes intestini
Lineage: Bacteria; Bacillati; Bacillota; Clostridia; Lachnospirales; Lachnospiraceae
Description: Clostridiales-1 RNA
Source: RNAcentral
CAGAAGCAAGCAGAUAUAUUUAGAAAUACACCGUGAAAGCUUGCUUUCUAAGGUGUAUUUCUAAAUAUAUCUAUUUGGCGAGAGCCAAACAGCGAGAAAACCGCAGGUUUUUGAGCUGAGCUUGAACCGCAGGUUUUUGAGCUGAGCUUGAACCGCAGAUUUUUG